RNAcentral lists this ribosomal RNA (375 nucleotides) under Triticum aestivum (bread wheat). RNAcentral's name for it is "partial small subunit ribosomal RNA". Lineage: Eukaryota; Viridiplantae; Streptophyta; Magnoliopsida; Poales; Poaceae. The record is from RNAcentral.
AUGAAAGGUGUAUUUUGGAAUGUCAGAGGACUAAAUGGAUCCUCCAAAAGCACUAGGGUGCAGGAGCUCAUUAGAGCACAUCACCCUGAUUUUAUCUGCCUUUCUGAAUCAAAAAAAGAAAAGUUUACCAAUUCCCAGCUAGAGGCCAUAGAUGUUGGCCUUGAAUUUGUGUGGAACUGGCUUCCAUCGGUGAAUACUGCUGGAGGGGUGUUGGUGGGUGUGAAAUAUGAUGUGUUCGAAAUUAUAAGUUGUGAUAUUCACAUCUAUAGUGUUGCCCUUAUGCUGAGAAAUAAAAAUGACAACAGCAUUUGGAGACUAAUCUCUGUCUAUGGGUCUGCUUAUGAUGCUUUUAAAUUAGAUUUUAUUCAAGAACUG